This 226-nucleotide long non-coding RNA is filed under the name Ananas comosus (pineapple). RNAcentral's name for it is "long non-coding RNA (ACOM_LNC000476)". The record is from RNAcentral. Lineage: Eukaryota; Viridiplantae; Streptophyta; Magnoliopsida; Poales; Bromeliaceae.
AUGUAUUUGACAGAUCUAUUAGUGAGCCUCGGUAGUGUAAGAACCCGGGGCGUAACAGAUUAAUUGGUAUUAGAGUUUAAAGAUAGGUCAUUGGGACCUAGAAAACCGUAGGCUUUUGUCAGACCAUAGGAAAGGAAGACAUGAGAGACGUGACUAACUGUGAAAAUCGGCGAUUGAGUGGUUGAAAAUCUUUCGGGAGUAUGGAGAGUGAUCGAAGGAGAUGUGU